This 2401-nucleotide unclassified non-coding RNA is filed under the name Hevea brasiliensis (rubber tree). The record is from RNAcentral. Lineage: Eukaryota; Viridiplantae; Streptophyta; Magnoliopsida; Malpighiales; Euphorbiaceae.
UGGCAUAUUAUUUAUAGUUUUGUUUUGUGAACGAAUCAUGAAAUAAUCAUCGUCUUUAAUAACUAUAAAUAAUGUGGUACGGUAUAAUAACAUUGGGGAGGAGGCUUGCAUUUCCUGUUUGGAGGCACCUGAUCAACCUUCUCCGGUUCAAUUUCAAACCGGAUGAUUUGAUACGGCAAAAUUAAAAAUUGUGCUACCAAUAAUCCCCACACGAACAGAUGCCAUUCCUGAAAUGGUGAAAACGACUAUUAUCUCUGACAACAAUCUCACGCCCUGCAAUUUUUGAUAUAAGCUUGAUGACAAAAUGGCAAUCUCCACAUAUUCGGAGAUUCUUCAUCACUGUUAUUGUACUUCCCUCCACAGUACUAACCAAAGCAAAUCCAAUUGCCAGCCUUUCACUAUGAUAAGACAACAUCUCUUCCUUUUGCUCAUCAUCAACAUCAUGCAAAGCAAAUCUUUGAUCAGGAAAAUAACCAAAUUGCUUUAAUUUUUCUCCCAACCAGUCCAGCUUUUCAAUAAUUUUCUCACUGAGAGGGUGAGACCUAUCUCCAGAAAUAAAUUCAUGUCUCAUUCCUUUUAAAACUACCCAACUGGACCCUGGUUGUUUGACAACUCCAACCUGCUUCAUCUUCACUCUCAUUCUAGAAACAUCAGUCCAUCUACCAGCAGAGGCAUACAAAUUAGACAACAAAACAUAAGCAGCACUACAAUAUGGUUCUAGAUCAAAAGUACUUGUUGCAGCUCUUUCAGCAACCUCUAAAUUGGAAUGCAUUCUACAUGAACUAAGGAGGGAUAGCCAAAUCAUAGAAUUUGCUUUCAUAGGCAUAUUUUUAAUUAACUCUUCUGCUUCCUCCAGCUUACCAUUUCUGCCUAAGAUAUCCACCAUACAAGCAUAAUGCUGAAGCUUCAAUGCAAUAGGUUUAUAUUGACUAAUAUACUCAAACAAGCACCUUCCCUUCUGCAACAUCCCAGAAUGGCUACAAGCAGAAAGCAAUCCAGUGAAUGUGAUCUCAUCUGGGUCUACACAUGCACGUAUCAUUUUGUUAAACAAAAUCAAGGCCCAAAUGCCAUGUCCAUGCUGAGAGCAUCCAACAAUGAUCGAGUUCCAUGAGACAGUAUUCUUCUCAUUAAUUGUUUUAAAUACAGCUACAGCAUCAUUUACAUUUCCACAUUCACUAUACAUGACCAUGAGAGAAUUACCAACAAAGACAUCAGCUUCCAAACCAAGUUUAAUUACUACUGUGUGGAUCUCUUUACCCUUAUCAAGGCUCUCUAAUCCACGACAUGAAUUAAAAGCACUGGUGAAUGUAGAUUGAUUUGGAAGAAAGCCCAUCUUGAUCAUGUCGCUGAAAACCCUCAGUGCAUCUCCAUGCUUACAAUUCAAAUCAUAUCCUGUUAAAAGAGCCGUCCAUAUAACCACAUUUUUAGACAAUGUCUCAUUAAAUACCUGAUGAGCUUUCUUGACUUCUUUGCAAUUUGAAUAAAAUGUUAUCAAUGAAGCUGAUAUAAAUUCACCAAAACAAUAUCCCAACUUAAGAACGUGACCAUGAACUUGAACACCCAGAUUGAAGUCUAUUGCAUUUGCACAAGCCGUCAACACACAGGCAAAUGUGCUUGAAGUGGGCUCAACACCCGAACCCAUCAUUUUCCCAAAAAGAAACAAAGACUUUUCACUCAUCCCAUUCUGGUCAAGUCCACCAAUCAUUGAAGUCCAUGAAAUCACAUUCCUACAAGGCAUUUUUUCAAACAACUUCAGACCCUUCUCAACUCUCCCAUUCCUACAAUACCCAUAAAUCAUCGCAUUCCAUGCUGCAACAUCCCUUGCUGGCAUAUUCCAGAACAACGUUUCAGCAACAUCAACUAUCCCAAACUUCAAAUACCCAUUUACCAUUGUUGUCCAAGAAACAACAUUCCUUUCAGGCAUUUCAUCGAACAAUCUUCUAGCCAGAGUCAAAUCUGCACAUUCUAAACACCCUUUUAUCAUCGAAUUCCAGGAAAUUAUAUCUCUAUCAGCCAUUCUUUCAAACAGCAUAAAUGCAUCAGUUAGCCUAUCAUUUUUCGCAUAAACAGCAAUCAUCAUAGUGCACAAAUGCACAUCAGGAGAUGGGAUUUCAUCAAAAAUAACGCGGGCUUGGUCUAAUCUUUGAUUCUUUAGGUGAUUAGAGAGUAAAGUUCUGUAAGAGUGAGACAUUGCUUUGGUGCAAUAGUUAACAUUAUCACCCAUUAAGGAUACGGGGAGAUCUCUGAGAAUGAUGGGAAAUCUUAAACUACCAAACUGCAAAUGGGAAAAUUUGGGUGGAUAUUUGAAAUUUUGAGAAAUGGCGCGAAACUGUGACAUAGUCUCUUCAUUGGACUAACGGCCCUGAAGCGAGCGCAAAUACGAGGAAGAAGUUGAAGCAAG